GACGAACGCUGGCGGCGUGCUUAACACAUGCAAGUCGAACGGAAAGGCCCCCACUUUUUGGUGGGGGUGCUCGAGUGGCGAACGGGUGAGUAACACGUGGGUGAUCUGCCCUGUACUUCGGGAUAAGCUUGGGAAACUGGGUCUAAUACCGGAUAGGACCAUGGUUUAGUGUCUCAUGGUGGAAAAAUUAUUGUUUUGGUGCAGGAUGAGCUCGCGGCCUAUCAGCUUGUUGGUGGGGUAAUGGCCUACCAAGGCGUCGACGGGUAGCCGGCCUGAGAGGGUGGACGGCCACAUUGGGACUGAGAUACGGCCCAGACUCCUACGGGAGGCAGCAGUGGGGAAUAUUGCACAAUGGGCGCAAGCCUGAUGCAGCGACGCCGCGUGGGGGAUGACGGCCUUCGGGUUGUAAACUCCUUUCGUUAGGGACGAAGCCGCACCUUUUUUGGGUGUGGUGACGGUACCUUUGUUAAGAAGCACCGGCUAACUACGUG
RNAcentral lists this ribosomal RNA (491 nucleotides) under uncultured bacterium. RNAcentral describes it as "partial 16S ribosomal RNA". It matches the Rfam family "Bacterial small subunit ribosomal RNA", at positions 28 to 507 of the family's 1533-position model. The record is from RNAcentral.